This is a long non-coding RNA of Mauremys mutica (yellowpond turtle), 339 nucleotides long. RefSeq lists it as uncharacterized. The transcript is spliced from 3 exons. Lineage: Eukaryota; Metazoa; Chordata; Testudines; Geoemydidae. The record is from RefSeq and is a predicted model, not a curated record.
CGGCACGCGUGGGAGAACCCGCCGGGCGGGACGCGGGGCUACUGGCCCUUUAAAGGGCCGGCGGGUCGGAGAAGCGGCUGGUUCGCGGCGCACGUGCGCGGUGCCCACAGCCUUGACAAUCAUGCAGCAAAAUCAUCAAGCCGGUGUGCAGGAGGAGAGAGAGAUGUAGCCCUUGGGAAAUGCCAGGAUGAUGGCCAGUGGCGAUAACGAGGAAGGUGAUGGUGAUGAGGAAGAUAACUAACAUUUCAGGUCUGCAAGUGAUGGUGUGAGCAUAUAGAUGUGAAGAUGGACAUUCUGUAUUCUCUCUUUCUACCUUGAUGGGUUAGAGUGUUUGUGACU